UGUGUAGGCGGUUCUUUAAGUUUGGUGUGAAAUCUCCCGGCUCAACUGGGAGGGUGCGCCGAAUACUGAGGGACUAGAGUACGGGAGAGGAAAGUGGAAUUCCUGGUGUAGCGGUGAAAUGCGUAGAUAUCAGGAGGAACACCGGUGGUGUAGACGGCUUUCUGGACCGUAACUGACGCUGAGACACGAAAGCGUGGGUAGAAC
This 204-nucleotide ribosomal RNA is filed under the name uncultured bacterium. RNAcentral's name for it is "partial 16S ribosomal RNA". It matches the Rfam family "Bacterial small subunit ribosomal RNA", at positions 568 to 771 of the family's 1533-position model. The record is from RNAcentral.